AACGAACGCUGGCGGCAUGCCUAACACAUGCAAGUCGAACGAGACCUUCGGGUCUAGUGGCGCACGGGUGCGUAACGCGUGGGAACCUGCCCUUAGGUUCGGAAUAACUCCCCGAAGGGGGUGCUAAUACCGGAUAAUGUCAUCGGACCAAAGAUUUAUCGCCAUUGGAUGGGCCCGCGUUGGAUUAGCUGGUUGGUAGGGUAAAAGCCUACCAAGGCGACGAUCCAUAGCUGGUCGGAGAGGAUGAUAAGCCACAAUGGAACUGAGACACGGCCCAGACUGCUACGCGAGGCAGCAGUGGGGAAUAUUGGAGACUGAGCGAAAGCGUGAUCAAGCAAUGCCGCGUGAGUGAUGAAGGCCUUAGGGUUGUAAAGCUCUUUUACCCGGGAUGAUAAUGACAGUACUGGGAGAAGAAGCUCCGGCUAACUCCGUG
This 433-nucleotide ribosomal RNA is filed under the name uncultured bacterium. Its description in RNAcentral is "partial 16S ribosomal RNA". It matches the Rfam family "Bacterial small subunit ribosomal RNA", at positions 29 to 507 of the family's 1533-position model. The record is from RNAcentral.